Non-coding RNA from Pelobates cultripes (western spadefoot toad), 309 nucleotides. The record is from the annotation of a GenBank genome assembly. Lineage: Eukaryota; Metazoa; Chordata; Amphibia; Anura; Pelobatidae.
CUAUCAUAUCCCCCCUAUCUCGUCUUUCCUCCAAGCAAUACAUGUUAAGAUCCUUUAACCUUUCCUGGUAAGUUUUAUCCCGCAAUCCAUGAACCCAGUUUAGUAGCCCUUCUCUGAAUCCUCUCUAAGGUAUCAAUAUCCUUCUGAAGAUACGGUCUCCAGUACUGUGUACAAUACUCCAAGUGAGGUCUCACCAGUGUUCUGUACAAUGGCAUGAGCACUUCCCUCUUUCUACUGCUAAUACCUCUCCCUAUACAACCAAGCAUUCUGCUAGCAUUUCCUGCUGCUCUAUUACAUUGUCUGCCUACC